UCAGGACGAACGCUGGCGGCGUGCCUAAUACAUGCAAGUCGAGCGGAUUUAUCCUUCGGGAUAAGUUAGCGGCGGACGGGUGAGUAACACGUAGGCAACCUGCCUAUAAGACUGGGAUAACUAUCGGAAACGAUAGCUAAGACCGGAUAACUGAUUUUCUCGCAUGAGAAAAUUAUGAAACACGGAGCAAUCUGUGGCUUAUAGAUGGGCCUGCGGCGCAUUAGCUAGUUGGUAGGGUAACGGCCUACCAAGGCGACGAUGCGUAGCCGACCUGAGAGGGUGAACGGCCACACUGGGACUGAGACACGGCCCAGACUCCUACGGGAGGCAGCAGUAGGGAAUCUUCCGCAAUGGACGCAAGUCUGACGGAGCAACGCCGCGUGAGUGAUGAAGGUUUUCGGAUCGUAAAGCUCUGUUGCCCUAGACGAACAGCAAGAGGAGUAACUGCCUUUUGUGUGACGGUAUAGGAGAAGAAAGCCCCGGCUAACUACGUGCCAGCAGCCGCGGUAAUACGUAGGGGGCAAGCGUUGUCCGGAAUUAUUGGGCGUAAAGCGCGCGCAGGCGGUCAAUUAAGUUGGGUGUUUAAGCCCGGGGCUCAACCCCGGUUCGCAUCCAAAACUGGUCGACUUGAGUGUAGGAGAGGAAAGUGGAAUUCCACGUGUAGCGGUGAAAUGCGUAGAGAUGUGGAGGAACACCAGUGGCGAAGGCGACUUUCUGGCCUAUAACUGACGCUGAGGCGCGAAAGCGUGGGGAGCAAACAGGAUUAGAUACCCUGGUAGUCCACGCCGUANACGAUGCAUACUANGUGUCGGGGGAUCGAUUCCUCGGUGCCGAAGUAACACAGUAAGUAUGCCGCCUGGGGAGUACGCUCGCAAGAAGUGAACUCAAAG
This 890-nucleotide ribosomal RNA is filed under the name uncultured Paenibacillaceae bacterium. RNAcentral's name for it is "bacterial SSU rRNA". It matches the Rfam family "Bacterial small subunit ribosomal RNA", at positions 24 to 906 of the family's 1533-position model. The record is from RNAcentral. Lineage: Bacteria; Bacillati; Bacillota; Bacilli; Caryophanales; Paenibacillaceae.